GGUACCGUCAAGCUUCGUGGGUAUUAAUCACGAAGUUUUCUUCCCAAUCUGACAGAGCUUUACAACCCAUAGGGCCUUCAUUCGCUCACGCGGCGUCGCUCGGUCAGGCUUUCGCCCAUUGCCGAAGCUUCUC
This 133-nucleotide ribosomal RNA is filed under the name uncultured bacterium. RNAcentral describes it as "partial 16S ribosomal RNA". The record is from RNAcentral.